This is a long non-coding RNA of Panthera uncia (snow leopard), 2468 nucleotides long. RefSeq lists it as uncharacterized. Lineage: Eukaryota; Metazoa; Chordata; Mammalia; Carnivora; Felidae. The transcript is spliced from 4 exons. The record is from RefSeq and is a predicted model, not a curated record.
UUAACUGACCUCGCUCUCCCGCAGCUUCUGAAUCUUUCCCGCUCAAAGUAAACCUGUUCGGGAUUGGCUCUAAUUGGCAAGCAACAGCUCUAUGAUUGGCUAAUAGGGCAGCGGAGGGGCGGGGCGUGGAAGGUAAGGAAAGAGAGCAGGCCUACCCCGUGGGAGAAGCGGUGGAGGUGGUCGGAAGAUUUGAGAAGUCGCCCAGCAACUGGCUGAUAAUCUAAACCUAUCGCUGCGCACCUUGUGCCAACAUUUCAUUUUUGGCCCUUGGGCCCUUCCCUAACUCCCAGAGUCCUUUGGAACAGCCAAGAGAAUAAUAGACGUGCCCGUUUACAGAAGAACUGCACAAGGAACUAUGGACCCAGCAAAAGGAACAGAGAGAUGCUCAGUAGCUUCUUUCUCCAAAUGUGGGGCCUUCCUUCUUAAGGACGAGAGAACAUCGGAUUGAUAGCUCCACCAAACUGAGAGCGUGCUUACGCUUCACAUGGUGGCUGGCUUCCGAGACGCCAAAGUGGAAGCUGUGGCGGGCCUCCUAAAACCUACACCUGAACCGUCAGGACAUCAGUUUUACUGCAUCCUAUUGAUCAAGGCAAGUCAAAGGCCACCCAGAUUCAAGGAGAGUGAAAACUAGAUGAAAGGCUCCGAAUGGAGAAGGCAUUUCUUUGCAGACCGUCCACCACAUUCCCCUCCCUGUGCUCCCCUUUGUUCCCCCUGGCUCACUGAAAGGCACUGUCCUCCUCCCUGGGCUGUCAUCCUUCACCCCUGCUUCUAAUCUGUGCCCGGGUGCUGUUGUUUCUGCUUCCGAAGCAUCUUUCAAAUCAUUCCCACCACCACUACUGUCCUCUCUUACCUAGAAUGUGCAAUAGCUUCCUAGAAGUUCUCCGUUUUCCACUCUUGCUUCGUUACCAUGUUGCUUUCCACACUGCAGACAGAGAGAUUACCUAUGGGGGGCUGGUGAAGUGGGGGACGGACGAGCCAGGGAGACCUGUGCUUCGUGAUACACCUUUUGGUACCAUGCGCGUACCUUUCCAAAAACUAAAAUGCCUUUAAAAAGAAAAAUUUUUUUAAUGUUUAUUUAUUUUGAGAGAGAGAGAGAGAGAGAGAGAGAAAGCAUGAGCUGGGGAUGGGCAGAGAGAGAGGGAGACGCAGAAUCCCAAGUAGGCUCCAGGCUCUGAGCUGUUAACACAGACCCCGAUGCGGGGCUUGAACUCACGAACCAUAAGAUCUUGACCUGAGCCAAAGCUGGACGCUCAACCCACUGAGCCACCCAGGUGCCCCUAAAAUGCCUUUUAAAAAUGGAUUCAGGGGGCGCCUGGCUGGCUCAGCCAAUAGAGCGUGGAAUUCUUAAUCUCAAGGUCAUGGGUUCGAGCCCCACAUGGGUAUAGAGAUUACUUAAAUAAAUAAAACUGAAAAACAAACAAACUUUAAAAAAAAGAACUGGAUGGGGGGUGCAUGCGUGGCUCAGUCGGUUAAGCGUCCAACUUCGGCUCAGGUCAUGAUCUCACAGUUUAUGAGUUUGAGCCCCUCAUGAGGUUCCACACUGACAAUGUGGAGCCUGCUUGCGAUUCUCUCUCUCCUUCUCUCUCUCUGCCCCUCCCCUGCUGGUGCACUCUCUCCCUCUCUCUCAAAUAAAUAAACUUAAAAAAAAUUUUUAAUAAAUAAAAAUUAAAAGAACUGAAAGACUUUAAAAAAAUCGGUUCAAAGUCAAAUUUAUUAAUAGACAAAAGAAACCAAAUCCUCACUGUGUCAUUUUUCUCCUGAAAACCCCUCGGUGACGGCCCACAACACCUUCAAGUUUAGAUUCCUUAGCAGAGCUCACAAAGCCCUUCAGCAUCUGCCCCACCUAGCCCCCACAGCCUCACCCCUUCCCACUUUGCACUCUGCGCUCCAGCUGAGCGGAACAUCUCUGACCUUCCUGCAGUUCCUUGAAAGCACCAUUUCCUCUUUUGCCUUGCAGGUUUUACACAGGCGGCUGCUCACAACACUCUAUUCAUCAUUCAGGUCUCCGCUUAGAUAUUGUUUCCUCCAGGAAGUCUUCCGUGGUCCAUAAAGUUGGGGUUUGACGCCUCUUCUGUGAAUUCCCAUAGCACCCUAGACUUGACUAGCACUGUGCUCAUCACGCUGUGUUGUAAUUACCUGGGGUUUCCCCUCGCCCUCCCACUAGAACAUACCCUUCCAAAGGAACAGGAACCAAAUUCUGCAUUGCUCACUGCUGCUUCGCUAGCACCUUUGCAAAGAAUGUCUCACAUGGGUGUAGGCAGGCCGCCAUCCCUCAGAUUGAUUGACUGAUAAACCCUCCAGAAGGCAGGGACAAGAUCAGUGCUCAAACCUACAGCUCAAGCUCUCAACUCCUGUCUGAAUGUCAGGACCACAUCUCCAAAUGCUUACCGGAUAUCUUCUGCUUGAAGUAAAUGCGUUCAAAACUGAGUUUAUUACCUUCUUGUAAUAAACAGAGAAAAUCAUGCUCA